RNAcentral lists this ribosomal RNA (253 nucleotides) under uncultured bacterium. RNAcentral's name for it is "partial 16S ribosomal RNA". It matches the Rfam family "Bacterial small subunit ribosomal RNA", at positions 524 to 776 of the family's 1533-position model. The record is from RNAcentral.
UACGUAGGUGGCGAGCGUUGUCCGGAUUUACUGGGCGUAAAGAGCGCGCAGGCGGUCGUAUAAGUCGCGUGUGAAAGCCCCCGGCUCAACUGGGGAGGGUCACGCGAUACUGUUCGACUUGAAGGCAGGAGAGGGAAGCGGAAUUCCCGGUGUAGUGGUGAAAUGCGUAGAUAUCGGGAGGAACACCAGUGGCGAAGGCGGCUUCCUGGCCUGUUCUUGACGCUGAGGAGCGAAAGCGUGGGGAGCGAACAGG